CCUACGGGUGGCAGCAGUGAGGAAUAUUGGUCAAUGGACGAGAGUCUGAACCAGCCAAGUAGCGUGAAGGAUGACUGCCCUAUGGGUUGUAAACUUCUUUUAUAAAGGAAUAAAACGAGGCACGUGUGCCUUUUUGCAUGUACUUUAUGAAUAAGGAUCGGCUAACUCCGUGCCAGCAGCCGCGGUAAUACGGAGAAUCCGAGCGUUAUCCGGAUUUAUUGGGUUUAAAGGGAGCGUAGAUGGGUUGUUAAGUUAGUUGUGAAAGGUUGCGGUUCAACCGUAAAAUUGCAAUUGAUACUGGCAGUCUUGAGUACAGUUGAGGUAGGCGGAAUUCGUGGUGUAGCGGUGAAAUGCUUAGAUAUCACGAAGAACCCCGAUUGCGAAGGCAGCUUACUAAACUGUGACUGACAUUGAUGCUCGAAAGUGUGGGUAUCAAACAGGAUUAGAUACCCCGGUAGUC
RNAcentral lists this ribosomal RNA (460 nucleotides) under uncultured bacterium. RNAcentral's name for it is "partial 16S ribosomal RNA". It matches the Rfam family "Bacterial small subunit ribosomal RNA", at positions 338 to 795 of the family's 1533-position model. The record is from RNAcentral.